This 655-nucleotide long non-coding RNA is filed under the name Homo sapiens (human). Its description in RNAcentral is "STARD13 antisense RNA". The record is from RNAcentral. Lineage: Eukaryota; Metazoa; Chordata; Mammalia; Primates; Hominidae.
GGGGGAGAAUGGGCAUCCCACCCCAGCACUUUCUAGGAAGAAGGGCAGCAUUUUGAAGGGCUGGAAGUAGAGGAAGGAGGUUGCGGGUAGAAGACUCCAUACUUUCUGUGACGCCUAUUCCUUAGGAGAGCCUUUAUAUAACCAAAGAUAUUUUUGGACCAUGAAUUCAGAAAUUCUCGGAGCCACCCAUCAGUGCCUGAGCUUCAGUGAGUCCAUAUCCCAUGUCACCCACGGCAAAGGAGACUCUAAGACUUCUGAAGAGUUUCUUGCUUCUUUCCUGUGGGGCAGUGACUCCACUUCCCAGCAGUAAUGGAAUAUCCUGAAUUAGCUACAUUAAUGUUAGAACCAUUUGGACCUCACCCAGGACUUCAACUACAUUAUGAGUAACUCCUGGACGAUUGGCACAGAAGAAGGCACAAGGUUCUAGUAUGUUACGUUUAUGUUCCCCUGCUUUCUACAAUCCUGUUCAAAGAGUUGCUGACUUAACCACAGAGAGGAUUCCAGAACCUGAGACACAGAAUAAACUUGAGCAAUCAUAGUCCAUCCACUUCAUUGUCUCAUCAAAAACCAAAGGUCCAGUGAAGCUCUGGAACUCAACGCUGUAAAGGAGCGAAGGAGCUUCUAUACAGAGCCUGGAUGCCUGUCUCCUUAUCCU